GUGAGGGAGGGUGUGACUAGUGACAGUUAGGCAGGGAAGGGGUGACUAGUGACAGAGGGAGGGGUGACUAGGGACAGAGUGAGGGAGGUGGUGACUAGUGACAGUCACCACCUCCCUCACUCUGUCACUAGUCACCACCUCCCUCCGUCACUGUGUCACCCCCUCCCUCAUUCUGUCACCAGUCAUCCCCUUACUCUGUCACUAGUCACCCCUCCCUCAC
Molecule: non-coding RNA, 220 nt
Organism: Pelobates cultripes (western spadefoot toad)
Lineage: Eukaryota; Metazoa; Chordata; Amphibia; Anura; Pelobatidae
Source: the annotation of a GenBank genome assembly